UUUUAUGCUGUGGCAUAUAAUCGUCGCAAGGUCUCGGGAACGUGGAACGCAGUGCGAAUCUGCGGCGGACCCGCCACUGUAAGCGUUACGGAACAGGCGGACGAAGCUGCGUUGGCAGUUUUCGUCGACCAUUGGGAGCAUGCUCCUGAGAAGGUGCCUGGCAGGCUGUUUAUGCAGCGUCCGGUUAGAUGCGCGAGCCAGGAUACCGUUCGAGAUCCAGUUCCGCC
This 227-nucleotide non-coding RNA is filed under the name Spirochaetota bacterium. Lineage: Bacteria; Pseudomonadati; Spirochaetota. The record is from RNAcentral.